This 195-nucleotide ribosomal RNA is filed under the name uncultured Pseudomonas sp. RNAcentral describes it as "partial 16S ribosomal RNA". It matches the Rfam family "Bacterial small subunit ribosomal RNA", at positions 337 to 524 of the family's 1533-position model. The record is from RNAcentral. Lineage: Bacteria; Pseudomonadati; Pseudomonadota; Gammaproteobacteria; Pseudomonadales; Pseudomonadaceae.
GCCUACGGGAGGCAGCAGUGGGGAAUAUUGGACAAUGGGCGAAAGCCUGAUCCAGCCAUGCCGCGUGUGUGAAGAAGGUCUUCGGAUUGUAAAGCNCUUUAAGUUGGGAGGAAGGGCAGUAAGCUAAUACCUUGCUGUUUUGACGUUACCGACAGAAUAAGCNCCGGCUAACUUCGUGCCAGCAGCCGCGGUAAU